AACGAACGCUGGCGGCAUGCCUAACACAUGCAAGUCGAACGAAGCCUUCGGGCUUAGUGGCGCACGGGUGCGUAACGCGUGGGAAUCUGCCCCUUGCUUCGGAAUAACAGUUAGAAAUGACUGCUAAUACCGGAUGAAGUCUUCGGACCAAAGAUUUAUCGGCAAGGGAUGAGCCCGCGUAGGAUUAGGUAGUUGGUGGGGUAAAGGCCUACCAAGCCGACGAUCCUUAGCUGGUCUGAGAGGAUGAUCAGCCACACUGGGACUGAGACACGGCUCAGACUCCUACGGGAAGCAGCAGUGGGGAAUAUUGGACAAUGGACGCAAGUCUGAUCCAGCAAUGCCGCGUGAGUGAUGAAGGCCUUAGGGUUGUAAAGCUCUUUUACCAGGGAUGAUAAUGACAGUACCUGGAGAAUAAGCUCCGGCUAACUCCGUG
RNAcentral lists this ribosomal RNA (433 nucleotides) under uncultured bacterium. Its description in RNAcentral is "partial 16S ribosomal RNA". It matches the Rfam family "Bacterial small subunit ribosomal RNA", at positions 29 to 507 of the family's 1533-position model. The record is from RNAcentral.